UAAUGUAUGGGGAUCUGCCCGAUAGAGGGGAUAACUACUGGAAACGGUGGCUAAUACCGCAUAAUGUCUACGGACCAAAGCAGGGGCUCUUCGGACCUUGCACUAUCGGAUGAACCCAUAUGGGAUUAGCUAGUAGGUGGGGUAAAGGCUCACCUAGGCGACGAUCUCUAGCUGGUCUGAGAGGAUGAUCAGCCACACUGGGACUGAGACACGGCCCAG
RNAcentral lists this ribosomal RNA (219 nucleotides) under uncultured bacterium. RNAcentral describes it as "partial 16S ribosomal RNA". It matches the Rfam family "Bacterial small subunit ribosomal RNA", at positions 111 to 334 of the family's 1533-position model. The record is from RNAcentral.